This 484-nucleotide ribosomal RNA is filed under the name uncultured bacterium. Its description in RNAcentral is "partial 16S ribosomal RNA". It matches the Rfam family "Bacterial small subunit ribosomal RNA", at positions 30 to 507 of the family's 1533-position model. The record is from RNAcentral.
AUUGAACGCUGGCGGCAGGCCUAACACAUGCAAGUCGAGCGGAUGAAGGGAGCUUGCUCCUGGAUUCAGCGGCGGACGGGUGAGUAAUGCCUAGGAAUCUGCCUGGUAGUGGGGGAUAACGUCCGGAAACGGGCGCUAAUACCGCAUACGUCCUGAGGGAGAAAGUGGGGGAUCUUCGGACCUCACGCUAUCAGAUGAGCCUAGGUCGGAUUGGCUAGUUGGUGGGGUAAAGGCCUACCAAGGCGACGAUCCGUAACUGGUCUGAGAGGAUGAUCAGUCACACUGGAACUGAGACACGGUCCAGAGUCCUACGGGAGGCAGCAGUGGGGAAGAUUGGACAAUGGGCGAAAGCCUGAUACAGCCAUGACGCGUGUGUGAAGAAAGUCUUGGGAUUGUAAAGCACUUUAAGGUGGGAGGAAGGGCAGUAAGUUAAUACCUUGCUGUUUUGACGUUACCAACAGAAUAAGCACCGGCUAACUUCGUG